Molecule: long non-coding RNA, 256 nt
Organism: Xiphophorus couchianus (Monterrey platyfish)
Lineage: Eukaryota; Metazoa; Chordata; Actinopteri; Cyprinodontiformes; Poeciliidae
Exons: 3
Source: RefSeq, a predicted model, not a curated record
GUGGUUGUUGUUGGUGCAGGUGGGGUUGUAGUUGGAGCCGCUGUGGUUGUUGUUGGUGCAGGUGUGGUUGUAGUUGGUGCAGCCGUGGUGGUAGUUGGAUCCACUGUGGUUGUUGUUGGAGCAGGUGUGGUUGUUGUUGGUGCAUGUGUGGAUGUAGUUGUAGCCACAGUAGUUGUUGUCGAGGCCACUGUGGUUGUUGUUGGAGCAGCUGUGGUUGUUGUUGGUGCAGCUGUGGUUGUUGUCGGAGCAGCUGUGG